Long non-coding RNA from Acinonyx jubatus (cheetah), 2614 nucleotides. RefSeq lists it as uncharacterized. The transcript has 2 exons. NCBI's taxonomy places the organism in Eukaryota, Metazoa, Chordata, Mammalia, Carnivora, Felidae. The record is from RefSeq and is a predicted model, not a curated record.
GGGACGCCUCAGUGCCGGCACCCGGGUCCCAGGGACAGCAGCAGGCGCAGGAGCGGGGCCGCCAGCCCGCCCCAGCGCGGCCCAGCGCGGCCGCAGCCCGCCCCCAGGUCCCCUCCUGGUCCUCCGCGCGGGGCCGGGGACGCUCCUGGCCGGGGGGCACCGCGGCUCGCUCCCUCCGGGACGACAGAACCCGGACAGCGCGGCACCGCCACCACUCACACACUCGGAGGGCAGGAGGCUCGCUCUGACCCGGACGCGAACCGCCCAGAGCCGGAAGUGACGCGAGCGCGGCGCUGGCCGCCGGGAGGGGGCGUGGUCGCGGUGCUGCUGCGGCCGAGCGCGCGGGCCGGGCUUCCGUCGGCGGAGGAGGGCUCUCGGCGCGUCUCGGAAAGCGGGGAGUCACCCCGCGAGAUGUCUGAGGACACCCCUGGAAGCCUGCGGCUCCAAGUGGCUGGUAGAGCACGCCGAGAGACACAGCGAGAUUACGUUCCCCACUGGCUCAGGCUGUCGGGAACUGCCAUCACAGUCUCCUGUGUCAGACUUCACCCUACCUGCCAAUCGCCACGUUCAAAGUCCUCUGGAGAGAAUUCUAUCACCUGGGGGACAGUGGAGCCACACAGUGGAGGACUUGAUGCCUGAGUCAUCAUGUGGAAGGCUGCCUGCCAAAUACCACAGUGAACUCCAGGAUAAGUAAAAUUUCUAGUACGUGAAACCACUGAAAUUGUGGGGUUUUUAUUGGUAAACACUGCCAUACCUAGACUGUACAUGUCAGGACAGGGCUAUGUUACAGUUACAUACAACACCAAAAUCUCAUUAUCUUAUAACAAAAAUGCAUUUCUUGUUUUCGAUACACCAUCAAGAACACUAUACUCAGUGAACAGCUAUCUACUCAGGGAGCGAGGCUGAUAAAAGUUCCCUCCUGACUUCUGUUUCCGAGAUCACCACGGGACUAGGAAAGAACGUGGUAAAUGAUACAUCAGCUUUGAAGGUUUGUGUGCAUACGUGACACGUCACUUCUGCUUACGUUUCAAAGAAAUGGUCAUGCUUAUCUUUAAAAAGAGCAAAGAACCGCAAUCCUACUUUGUGCCACAAAAGGGAAAAUCCAGACACAUUGGCGAACGAGAGCGAGGGCUACCGUGUGAAUCAACGUUGGUGCCUGGAAGAAGGGCACUGCCAUACAGACACUUAAAAUACGUCGUACAGAACAAGUCAUUGGGCAGCAGGCUGGUCAGCGGGACAGCUCUUCUGUACCCUGGUAACAUAUUUAGUAAAUCCGUCCCCAGUGGGACGUAGAAGGUAGACCAGGAGCCCAGUGAGACUCUAACUCAAUGGGAAGUAGAUGGAGGCAGUGACGUGUGUUAGAUACUGUUAUCUGCCUUUAGCAAGAUACCGUGACAGCUCAGAGGAGAUCUGCUUGGUUUUCUAGAAGACAUAGAAAGGUAUUAAGGAAUUCUGAUCCAGGUCCUCUUAGGGUUAGAAAAGCGGGCUGUCCCUAGACCCUCAGUAACAAGACUGUAAAGUGUUGAGUGACAAAGUUACUAAAAGAUCUCUGAUUUAAAAAAAGAAAUGACACAAUUUUUCCGCAAAGAUGAGAUUAAGGGUUCUAAGCUUAGUGUUUCAGAGAGCAGUCAGAUAGUCCUUAGUCGAGAGAGAGGGGCACACACGUGAGGAGGCAAAAAGAUACAUCAUCCUUGAGAGUUUUAUACAGGAAGGAACUCGAGUGCGGAAUUUACAAUACGGGAACCAGAAGCACAUAUAGCAAAAAGGUCACCUUUUAAAGGUAAUUGUUAUUGUUAAGGAAACCAUGGGCAUGGAUAAAAAGAAGACUUUGAUCCUUAAAACAAGCGAUCCCUCCGAGUGUCCCUGCAGGAAGCCCAGAUAACUUAUCUUUCUGGUUUACAGGGUGCCGCUGGACCAUAAGGAGCCAUGUUUCAUACCGGAUACAAGACCGUGUAUCGUGUGGAGAUCUUAGAUCCUUUUCUCUAGUCAGGGCCUGCCCCAGAUGUGUUUCCAUUGACUCUUAGCCCCAUUCCAGGCAAGAUCAUUCAACACACAACAAGAGUGACUUUCCCUCGUUUCAGGGAGCAAGUUUCUUACUGGUGUAAAAUCGCAAAUUCCGUUAUUUUUUAGAUGUCUUUAGGGACUAUGGGUGCCAAGGUAAUACUUGCAAAAUGGGACUUGCAACUUGCUCUCUUAUCCUUUAAAUGUGUCUGGAGCUACCCUGCUGAGUAAAAGGAGGCUGCUAAUUUUGUGAUGUUCUAUUCUCAUAGCAACCGGCGGUGACGUCAGAGGGCUAUUUUAUCACAGAAGCUAUCCAAAAAAAGAAGGAGACAGUCCUGGCUUCCUUGCGCUUUAUGCAACAAUCAUUUCACAUCGAUAAAAACGGAAACAGGAAAUAAAAGACUCUAAUAGCUUAUGUGAACCUUUUUAUGAAUAGUUGCCAUGGUAUGAAAAAGCUUUCAUUUUAGCACUGAUUCGUUUGUAUCAGUGGUUAUGUAUGUGUGUGUUUUUCAAAUAGUAUUACAGGACAUUCAGUUACAAGCCUAAGCAAGAUUAGAUAAGCUAGGUCAGGCACACAGGAGAGAAAGCAGCAUCAAAGCAUUUAAAAGAAUAA